AAAGCAGGUCGUUCUAUCGCAGCAUUGCUGAGGAAAGUCCGGGCAACAAAGGGCGCCAUGUUUCCUAACGGGAAGUUGUCGCGAGGCAAAUGAGCGUAACAGAAAAUAACCGCCGCGCUUUCGGGUGCGGUAAGGGUGAAAAGGCAGGGUAAGAGCCUGCCGGUUCCUGUGGCGACACAGGAGCAGUACGCAUCAUGGGUUGCAAGGCCAUGUACACCGUCGCUUGAGGACUGCCCGUUCGAUGACGGGGGGUAGGCCGCAUGACUUCGGCAGUGAUGCCGGAGCAAGAUAAAUGAUAGAACCCGGAAAACCGGUGACAGAACCCGGCUUAUAGACCUGCUUUUUUU
RNAcentral lists this RNase P RNA (347 nucleotides) under Bacteroidales bacterium. RNAcentral's name for it is "RNase P RNA component class A". It matches the Rfam family "Bacterial RNase P class A". Rfam says of the family: Ribonuclease P (RNase P) is a ubiquitous endoribonuclease, found in archaea, bacteria and eukarya as well as chloroplasts and mitochondria. Its best characterised activity is the generation of mature 5'-ends of tRNAs by cleaving the 5'-leader elements of precursor-tRNAs. Cellular RNase Ps are ribonucleoproteins. Lineage: Bacteria; Pseudomonadati; Bacteroidota; Bacteroidia; Bacteroidales. The record is from RNAcentral.